UAGGGAAUAUUGCACAAUGGGGGAAACCCUGAUGCAGCGACGCCGCGUGAAGGAAGAAGUAUCUCGGUAUGUAAACUUCUAUCAGCAGGGAAGACAAUGACGGUACCUGACUAAGAAGCCCCGGCUAACUACGUGCCAGCAGCCGCGGUAAUACGUAGGGGGCAAAGCGUUAUCCGGAUUUACUGGGUGUAAAAGGGAGCGUAGACGGAUCUGCAAGUCUGGAGUGAAAAGCCCGGGGCUCAACCCCGGACUGCUUUGGAAAACUGUGGAUCUAGAGUGCCGGAGAGGUAAGCGGAAUUCCUAGUGUAGCGGUGAAAAUGCGUAGAUAUUAGGAGGAACACCAGUGGCGAAGGCGGCUUACUGGACGGUAAACUGACGUUGAGGCUCGAAAAGCGUGGGGAGCAAAACAAGGAUUAGAUACC
Molecule: ribosomal RNA, 422 nt
Filed under: uncultured bacterium
Lineage: Bacteria
Description: bacterial SSU rRNA
Rfam family: Bacterial small subunit ribosomal RNA
Source: RNAcentral